CAUUAAUAUUCCAGUACGUCGCCUGAAAGAUUACCUAGUACGUCGCCAGACAUCCCUCCUGUGAAACCCCUCCGAUACUAUAGUGCCAAGCGAUACCUCCGAACCCUCCUAACUGAGGUAAAACAAGCCCAACAUUCCGCAUGGAGUCUCGCCGAGUUAUCUCCACUAAGCUCGCCCAGAGUCGUCAUCAGGAUACUCAUCAGUUGAUUUAUGGCGAAGUAUUGCCUCCUCCUCACCUUUGGGCGAGGUAGAAUACUUGGGCCUAAUUAAUUUCCACCAGAAUCCUAUCUAUACAUGGAAGUUGCCCAUUGCGAGAUUCUCUCCUUCACGGCACCUAUGAUCACGGGAUACUCUCCAGACAGCAAUCUUCCCAAUUAAUUCUCCUACAUCUCCGGAUUACACUUUCAUAUUUGGCCAUCCGAAAAUCUCGCCGUGAUCCGCUCACACGGCCCAUUACUCCGCCUAUAAAAAGGCCGCUCCUCCAUUCAUUAUGAGGUACAUUUUUAAUAGUUCUACACCAUCUUUACUUUAAUUAUCUCCUAGUCAUCUUGGCCUGAUUCGCACGCCGGAAGAGUUUUGAGCGGCCUCACCCCGGCUGUUUACUUUUAUCCGUCUGUGCAGGUCGCUCAAGUAUUUACCAAGGAACAAUUUUAACUAUUGGUUGCUCGGUCCAAAUUUUUACCACAACAAUGUGUAUCUAGAAUUGCUCGAAAUAAAGGUAGCCCCCAACAAUCCAAUACGUGUGAUCUAAAUCAAUGGAAUCUAUCUUGUUUGGUUGUAUUCCUAAACGGAUCUGCGUCACUAAGACGUGUCAUUUAUGCGUACGGAGAUAUAAUAUGAAUGUGGGUCGGUAUUUACUAAUAGAGCAAUUCAAUUUGGACUAAAAAUCAAAACGUUAUCCUCCAUGUGGCUUACACUAUAAAUACCAGGUCCACUCGAAGAGCGGGUCUUUG
This 953-nucleotide long non-coding RNA is filed under the name Actinidia chinensis (golden kiwifruit). Its description in RNAcentral is "long non-coding RNA (ACHI_LNC006651)". Lineage: Eukaryota; Viridiplantae; Streptophyta; Magnoliopsida; Ericales; Actinidiaceae. The record is from RNAcentral.